GCCUGGGUGGCUCAGUUGGUUAAGCAUCUGACUUCAGAUCAUGAUCUCAUGGUUUGUGGGUUCAAGCCCUGCAUCAGGCU
Molecule: transfer RNA, 80 nt
Filed under: Felis catus (domestic cat)
Lineage: Eukaryota; Metazoa; Chordata; Mammalia; Carnivora; Felidae
Also listed under: 1 other name
Rfam family: tRNA
About the family: Transfer RNA (tRNA) molecules are approximately 80 nucleotides in length.
Source: Rfam by way of RNAcentral